Molecule: unclassified non-coding RNA, 314 nt
Filed under: plant metagenome
Description: partial contains 5.8S ribosomal RNA, internal transcribed spacer 2, and large subunit ribosomal RNA
Rfam family: 5.8S ribosomal RNA (bases 1-104)
Source: RNAcentral
AACUGCGAUAAGUAAUGUGAAUUGCAGAAUUCAGUGAAUCAUCGAGUCUUUGAACGCACAUUGCGCCCCCUGGCAUUCCGGGGGGCAUGCCUGUCCGAGCGUCAUUGCUGCCCUUCAAGCCCGGCUUGUGUGUUGGGUCGUCGUCCCCUCCGGGGGACGGGCCCGAAAGGCAGCGGCGGCACCGCGUCCGGUCCUCGAGCGUAUGGGGCUUUGUCACCCGCUCGAUAAGGACCGGCCGGGCGCCAGCCGACGUCUCCAACCUUUUUUUCUCAGGUUGACCUCGGAUCAGGUAGGGAUACCCGCUGAACUUAAGC